UACGGGGGGGGCAAGCGUUGUUCGGGAUUACUGGGCGUAAAGGGCUUGUAGGUGGCCAACUAAGUCAGACGUGAAAUCCCCCGGCUUAACCGGGGAACUGCAUCCGAUACUGGAUGGCUUGAGUUCGGGAGAGGGAUGCGGAAUUCCAGGUGUAGCGGUGAAAUGCGUAGAUAUCUGGAGGAACACCGGUGGCGAAGGCGGCAUCCUGGACCGACACUGACGCUGAGGAGCGAAAGCCAGGGGAGCAAACGGG
This 253-nucleotide ribosomal RNA is filed under the name uncultured bacterium. RNAcentral describes it as "partial 16S ribosomal RNA". It matches the Rfam family "Bacterial small subunit ribosomal RNA", at positions 524 to 776 of the family's 1533-position model. The record is from RNAcentral.